Molecule: long non-coding RNA, 1612 nt
Organism: Formica exsecta
Lineage: Eukaryota; Metazoa; Arthropoda; Insecta; Hymenoptera; Formicidae
Exons: 5
Source: RefSeq, a predicted model, not a curated record
GCUAAAGUUCUGGAACUGUUUCUCGACAGUUGCAACACGCGCAUCUGGGUCCCUCUCCGGAUCCAGGCAUGAUUUAUGCAAGCAAAUAAAUGUCACUGAGACAUGUCAUUAGACCGGUUCGUUUGAAAUGCAAAUAGCAUUUGCAGCGCGCACCAGAUACACUCUUCAAUUAAAUUUGUCCGCGCAAACUUUUCCCGUGGUCUUGGCGGAAAGUUUGCAGGCGCUUUGAAGUUCGGAUAUAGAUUCUCGCCGUAUACAGAGAGCCGAGCGUGAAACUCGAUAUCAAAUUAUACGCUCUCUCGAACCGCCACCGGAAGUAAAGUUGCCGAUUCCCCUGACUCUCUGGUUAAUCUUCGGACCCUAACUCGCUCGCUUCCUGCUUGCCAACAGUAUCGCGUCAACUGCAGUAUCAGUCGUUGCAUCGGAUACGCGCGUAAUCGCAUUUCGCUCUUCAUCUGAUCGAAAUAUAUAGCGUUGACGUAUCCCAUUCCAGUGGUAUUCCUCUCGCUCGUAUUCGGAUAAGUUCGAAAGCUGAAUUGCACGAUCGAAACGUCGUUGCGUUCAGUGUAGCAGCGGUACUUGAUGGAAUUACAGUUGACGAAGGGUUCGAAGGGGCGGAUGAAAGAGAGAUCGAUGCUCGCCAGGAGGAGAGGCAAGCGAGUCGAUGAAAAGGUCAAAGGUUUCAGAUAUCUUUCACCGACAACGCGUAACAUCGCUUGACUGUCGCAGUUGAAAUAGCGUCAUCCUAUUCUGACUUGACGCGGUUUUAAUCAAGCGGCAUCGACACAUUUGAGGGAAUCAGACGUAAUCUUGACGUAAAUUUGCAAGAUUAUUAUAGUGGCCAAGUUGGUUUUCCAUCUCGUCGCGAUAACGGAUGGACGAGGCAGGCCUUUUAAAAAUCUGCGUGCUCACGUAUGAAUAACCAAUGUAUGAAUGACCAAUUGUCAAUUCAUAGCGAGCUUGCCGGGACCGAAUGUGUCGCAAACGGCCGACUGAUAAGGUUCGCGGAUAACAGGCGAGUAUACGUGGUAGCAAGAUACGAGACGCGGUGAUCUCGGGUGGGCGACCUCGAGACUCGGGACUGCAAGGACAAGCGGCGUGACUAACUCGUUUAUCGUGCUCUCCCGAUCCAAAGAUUUACCAGUCUCCGGUUAUGUUUGAUGCACCAUUAUGUUUUCGAUUACGGUAGGUUAGUUGCAUCGGUAACGUCAUCUCUGUCGUCAGCGGCACGCCGCCGAUACGUCAAAACCGGCGAAACACGUGCUCGUCGCGUUGCGUGGAGAACGCGUACGUCAUCGGUAAUGCCGUUCAUUGACUGACGUCGAUGCACCCAAGAAUGGAGAAUGGUCGAAACAAUCUUAUCACGCAACGAAGAGAUUCCGCUUUUUUCUUCCUUCAUUUAUGCACGAAAUUUCCAGCACAGAUAAUAAUUAAUAACAGCUGAUUGCGCGAAUGUAAAAUUUCAACUUAACGUUAGAAAACUCAAGGACGCAUGUUGGACUUCUUUCCUCACAUGUUUAAACUUUUUUUUAAUUGUCCCGUAUGAUAUAAAGAAAGUAAAGCAUAUGCAUGAUAUAAUAUAAUAUAUAAUAUACAUAUAUGUUGUAUAAUA